Molecule: unclassified non-coding RNA, 457 nt
Filed under: Hevea brasiliensis (rubber tree)
Lineage: Eukaryota; Viridiplantae; Streptophyta; Magnoliopsida; Malpighiales; Euphorbiaceae
Source: RNAcentral
GACAUCUUCUGUGGGUUCUUCGAGGUUAGUAUGCUGUUGUUCGUGUUGUUUAUAUAGAAUGUUUCAAUCAUCUAUUGCCUUUAUGGUUCAUUGGUAUGAAUACUGUUCAAUAAUGCUCUGCUUGAAGUGUAUCAUCACUGGUAUUUUUACUGUUUGUCCUCUAAGCUUAAUCAUGAUAUGAGAUAGGUAGAUGCGCAUGCAUGCAUACAUACAUAUAUUACCAGCCCUUGAGCCAGUUGUCAAUUAUGAAACCCUAUUACACCACUUUCAUUUUUGACCUAUUAUAUCCUGAUACUUUUUCCUCUUUUUGCUCUAUUACACCAUCAAUUAUGAGCAUAUUUAAUUUCCAUGGCUUCUCCAUGGGACGUGUUAAUUUUUUUUAUUUGCCUCUGAAAGUUGGCAUGCUAGUCCUGGCUGAAGUUGAGGCUUUAUUGACAUAUUAUUUGUCCAAGCUUGA